RNAcentral lists this ribosomal RNA (449 nucleotides) under uncultured Streptococcus sp. Its description in RNAcentral is "bacterial SSU rRNA". It matches the Rfam family "Bacterial small subunit ribosomal RNA", at positions 930 to 1382 of the family's 1533-position model. Lineage: Bacteria; Bacillati; Bacillota; Bacilli; Lactobacillales; Streptococcaceae. The record is from RNAcentral.
CGGUGAGCAUGUGUUUAAUUCGAAGCAAACGCGAAGAACCUUACCAGGUCUUGACAUCCCGAUGCUAUUUCUAGAGAUAGAAAGUUACUUCGGUACAUCGGUGACAGGUGGUGCAUGGUUGUCGUCAGCUCGUGUCGUGAGAUGUUGGGUUAAGUCCCGCAACGAGCGCAACCCCUAUUGUUAGUUGCCAUCAUUCAGUUGGGCACUCUAGCGAGACUGCCGGUAAUAAACCGGAGGAAGGUGGGAUGACGUCAAAUCAUCAUGCCCCUUAUGACCUGGGCUACACACGUGCUACAAUGGUUGGUACAACGAGUUGCGAGUCGGUGACGGCGAGCUAAUCUCUUAAAGCCAAUCUCAGUUCGGAUUGUAGGCUGCAACUCGCCUACAUGAAGUCGGAAUCGCUAGUAAUCGCGGAUCAGCACGCCGCGGUGAAUACGUUCCCGGGCCUU